RNAcentral lists this long non-coding RNA (395 nucleotides) under Salmo salar (Atlantic salmon). RNAcentral's name for it is "lncRNA (ENSSSAG00000084878.1)". Lineage: Eukaryota; Metazoa; Chordata; Actinopteri; Salmoniformes; Salmonidae. The record is from RNAcentral.
GCCAACCCGCCGUUUUACACUGUGUGCUGCUAAGUUCUAGACUUGUGGAAUCCUACGGGGCUUUCCUUCAGGCGCCGGUCCCCGUCUGUGGUUAUCUUCUCUGCAUGUUUUCCUACACAGCAGUGAAGUACGCUGAUUUCAGGGGGCCGUUACGCUGUUUUUUCAAUGUGGUGCCGUGCCGAGAAAUAGAAACUCAACAGCAGAGGGAACGGACUAAAAGUAGCAGUUCUCAGGAGAAAUGCCAAGGACAACCACUGCAUCUGGUAAAUAAAGAACCCAACAACAGUAACACCACAAGUAUGCCUAAUGAUGGAUUUCAUCAGGGUUUUGAGUCUGCCGGAGGCCAGGAUUGGAGAGGUGGUUGAGUGGUUGGGGGGGGGUGCAUAUUAAAGAGU